This 77-nucleotide transfer RNA is filed under the name Gammaproteobacteria bacterium CG22_combo_CG10-13_8_21_14_all_40_8. Its description in RNAcentral is "tRNA-Arg". It matches the Rfam family "tRNA". Rfam says of the family: Transfer RNA (tRNA) molecules are approximately 80 nucleotides in length. Their secondary structure includes four short double-helical elements and three loops (D, anti-codon, and T loops). The record is from RNAcentral. Lineage: Bacteria; Pseudomonadati; Pseudomonadota; Gammaproteobacteria.
GCGCCUGUAGCUCAGCUGGAUAGAGUAAUCGGCUUCGAACCGAUUGGUCGGGGGUUCGAAUCCCUCCAGGCGCGCCA